GAUAUAUGGAAGAACACCAGUGGCGAAGGCGGCUGUCUGGUCUGUAACUGACGCUGAGGCUCGAAAGUAUGGGUAGCAAACAGGAUUAGAUACCCUGGUAGUCCAUACCGUAAACGAUGAAUGCUAAGUGUUGGAGGGUUUCCGCCCUUCAGUGCUGCAGCUAACGCAUUAAGCAUUCCGCCUGGGGAGUACGGCCGCAAGGCUGAAACUCAAAGGAAUUGACGGGGGCCCGCACAAGCGGUGGAGCAUGUGGUUUAAUUCGAAGCUACGCGAAGAACCUUACCAGGUCUUGACAUACUAUGCAAAUCUAAGAGAUUAGACGUUCCCUUCGGGGACAUGGAUACAGGUGGUGCAUGGUUGUCGUCAGCUCGUGUCGUGAGAUGUUGGGUUAAGUCCCGCAACGAGCGCAACCCUUAUUAUCAGUUGCCAGCAUUAAGUUGGGCACUCUGGUGAGACUGCCGGUGACAAACCGGAGGAAGGUGGGGAUGACGUCAAAUCAUCAUGCCCCUUAUGACCUGGGCUACACACGUGCUACAAUGGAUGGUACAACGAGUUGCGAACUCGCGAGAGUAAGCUAAUCUCUUAAAGCCAUUCUCAGUUCGGAUUGUAGGCUGCAACUCGCCUACAUGAAGUCGGAAUCGCUAGUAAUCGCGGAUCAGCAUGCCGCGGUGAAUACGUUCCCGGGCCUUGUACACACCGCCCGUCACACCAUGAGAGUUUGUAACACCCAAAGUCGGUGGGGUAACCUUUUAGGAACCAGCCGCCUAAGGUGGGACAGAUGAUUAGGGUG
This 790-nucleotide ribosomal RNA is filed under the name Lactiplantibacillus plantarum. RNAcentral describes it as "bacterial SSU rRNA". It matches the Rfam family "Bacterial small subunit ribosomal RNA", at positions 693 to 1482 of the family's 1533-position model. Lineage: Bacteria; Bacillati; Bacillota; Bacilli; Lactobacillales; Lactobacillaceae. The record is from RNAcentral.